Molecule: ribosomal RNA, 445 nt
Filed under: uncultured bacterium
Lineage: Bacteria
Description: bacterial SSU rRNA
Rfam family: Bacterial small subunit ribosomal RNA
Source: RNAcentral
GUGAGGAAUAUUGGUCAAUGGGCGGUAGCCUGAACCAGCCAAGUAGCGUGAAGGAUGAAGGUUCUAUGGAUUGUAAACUUCUUUUAUAAAGGAAUAAAGUGAGGCACGUGUGCCUUUUUGUAUGUACUUUAUGAAUAAGGAUCGGCUAACUCCGUGCCAGCAGCCGCGGUAAUACGGAGGAUCCGAGCGUUAUCCGGAUUUAUUGGGUUUAAAGGGAGCGUAGAUGGGUUGUUAAGUCAGUUGUGAAAGUUUGCGGCUCAACCGUAAAAUUGCAAUUGAUACUGGCGUCCUUGAGUACAGUUGAGGUGGGCGGAAUUCGUGGUGUAGCGGUGAAAUGCUUAGAUAUCACGAAGAACUCCUAUUGCGAAGGCAGCUCACUAAACUGCAACUGACAUUGAGGCUCGAAAGUGUGGGUAUCAAACAGGAUUAGAAACCCCAGUAGUCC